Molecule: ribosomal RNA, 427 nt
Filed under: uncultured Campylobacterota bacterium
Lineage: Bacteria; Pseudomonadati; Campylobacterota
Description: bacterial SSU rRNA
Rfam family: Bacterial small subunit ribosomal RNA
Source: RNAcentral
CUGGCUUGACCUAGAAAGAAUUUAGCAGAGAUGUAAAAGUGCUAGUUUACUAGGAGCUUUCAUACAGGUGCUGCACGGCUGUCGUCAGCUCGUGUCGUGAGAUGUUGGGUUAAGUCCCUGCAACGAGCGCAACCCUCCGUGUUUAGUUACUAACAGAUUAUGCUGAGGACUCUAGACAUACUGCCUGGGCCACCAGGAGGAAGGUGAGGACGACGUCAAGUCAUCAUGGCCCUUACGGCCAGGGCUACACACGUGCUACAAUGGGGUAUACAAAGAGCAGCGAUACCGCGAGGUGGAGCAAAUCUCAUAAAAUAUCUCCCAGUUCGGAUUACACUCUGCAANNNGAGUGUAUGAAGUUGGAAUCGCUAGUAAUCGUAGAUCACCAAUGCUACGGUGAAUACGUUCCCGGGUCUUGUACUCACCGCCG